AGGGCACCACCAGGAGUGGAGCCUGCGGCUUAAUUUGACUCAACACGGGAAAACUCACCCGGCCCGGACACUGGAAGCAUUGACAGAUUGAGAGCUCUUUCUUGAUUCAGUGGGUGGUGGUGCAUGGCCGUUCUUAGUUGGUGGAGUGAUUUGUCUGGUUAAUUCCGAUAACGAACGAGACUCUAGCCUACUAAAUAGAUCGUCGGCUUACAAACGCCGGCGAGACUUCUUAGAGGGACAGGCGGUGAUUCAACCGCACGAAACAGAGCAAUAACAGGUCUGUGAUGCCCUUAGAUGUCCGGGGCCGCACGCGCGCUACACUGAAGUGAUCAGCGUGCUUUUUCAACCUACUCUGUCAAGAGUGGGGAACCCAAUGAACCUUCUUCGUGAUUGGGAUAGGGGAUUGUAAUUAUUCCCCUUGAACGAGGAAUUCCCAGUAAGCGCGAGUCAUAAGCUCGCGUUGAUUACGUCCCUGCCCUUUGUACACACCGCCCGUCGCUGCUACCGAUUGAAUGUUUU
This 519-nucleotide ribosomal RNA is filed under the name uncultured eukaryote. RNAcentral describes it as "SSU rRNA". It matches the Rfam family "Eukaryotic small subunit ribosomal RNA", at positions 1161 to 1699 of the family's 1831-position model. The record is from RNAcentral.